Molecule: ribosomal RNA, 328 nt
Filed under: uncultured eukaryote
Lineage: Eukaryota
Description: partial 18S ribosomal RNA
Rfam family: Eukaryotic small subunit ribosomal RNA
Source: RNAcentral
CCCUUAGAUGUUCUGGGCUGCACGCGCGCUACACUGACGCACGCAACAGGUGCCUGCUCCGAGAGGACUGGGUAAUCAUUUGAGUGUGCGUCGUGAUGGGGAUAGAAUAUUGUAAUUAUUACUCUUCAACGAGGAAUUCCUAGUAAGCGCAAGUCAGCAGCUUGCGUUGAUUACGUCCCUGCCCUUUGUACACACCGCCCGUCGCUACUACCGAUUGAAUGGUUUAGUGAGAUCUUCGGAUUGGCGCCACUGCGGCUCAGCAAUGGGCUCGGUGGAUGCCGAAAAGUUGAUCAAACUUGAUCAUUUAGAGGAAGUAAAAGUCGUAACA